This 73-nucleotide transfer RNA is filed under the name Camelus bactrianus (Bactrian camel). It matches the Rfam family "tRNA". From Rfam's summary of the family: Transfer RNA (tRNA) molecules are approximately 80 nucleotides in length. Their secondary structure includes four short double-helical elements and three loops (D, anti-codon, and T loops). Further hydrogen bonds mediate the characteristic L-shaped molecular structure. tRNAs have two regions of fundamental functional importance: the anti-codon, which is responsible for specific mRNA codon recognition, and the 3' end, to which the tRNAs corresponding amino acid is attached (by aminoacyl-tRNA synthetases). tRNAs cope with the degeneracy of the genetic code in two manners: having more than one tRNA (with a specific anti-codon) for a particular amino acid; and 'wobble' base-pairing, i.e. permitting non-standard base-pairing at the 3rd anti-codon position. The record is from Rfam by way of RNAcentral. Lineage: Eukaryota; Metazoa; Chordata; Mammalia; Artiodactyla; Camelidae. RNAcentral also lists the same sequence under 2 other names.
GGAGUGGACAGCUCAAUGGUAGAGCACGUGCUUUGCAUGCAGGAGGUCCUGGGUUCAAUCCCCAGUCCCUCCU